GCAUGGUUGAAUACCAUGUUCUUUUUAUCAGUAUGUUACACAGCCUAACACCAUGCAAAAUUAAAGUUUUCCCUUGAAAUGACUUCUGAUGGCAUGCUGUUUUUUCAUGACAUAUCAUUAUUAAAAGUGGUUCCAAGG
This is a small nucleolar RNA of Sorex fumeus (smoky shrew), 138 nucleotides long. RefSeq annotates it as small nucleolar RNA SNORA15. NCBI's taxonomy places the organism in Eukaryota, Metazoa, Chordata, Mammalia, Eulipotyphla, Soricidae. The record is from RefSeq and is a predicted model, not a curated record. The transcript has a single exon.